UAUGGUCCAAGAGGGGAUAAAUUUUAUACUGUUGGUCUUGCAGCCACUUGCUGGGCAAUCUGGCUUGCUCGCAAUAAGGCUACCUUUGAGAAAAAGCAAAUUAAGUCUCUUUUCAAAAUUGUGUUCUCUAUAUGCUCUUUUCUUUUGUAUUGGACAGGACUGCAGAAGGGUGAUGACGCUGACAAGCUUCGCUCAGGUGCCGAGAUGAUCAGGGCCAGCACGAUGCAGCUGAUGAGACUUUGCGGGACUACUGCCCAGUCGAUUGGAGGAGCGUGA
This 276-nucleotide ribosomal RNA is filed under the name Triticum aestivum (bread wheat). Its description in RNAcentral is "partial small subunit ribosomal RNA". Lineage: Eukaryota; Viridiplantae; Streptophyta; Magnoliopsida; Poales; Poaceae. The record is from RNAcentral.